Molecule: ribosomal RNA, 256 nt
Filed under: uncultured bacterium
Lineage: Bacteria
Description: partial 16S ribosomal RNA
Rfam family: Bacterial small subunit ribosomal RNA
Source: RNAcentral
CGGCGGACGGGUGAGUAAUGUCUGGGAAACUGCCUGAUGGAGGGGGAUAACUACUGGAAACGGUAGCUAAUACCGCAUAACGUCGCAAGACCAAAGAGGGGGACCUUCGGGCCUCUUGCCAUCAGAUGUGCCCAGAUGGGAUUAGCUAGUAGGUGGGGUAACGGCUCACCUAGGCGACGAUCCCUAGCUGGUCUGAGAGGAUGACCAGCCACACUGGAACUGAGACGCGGUCCAGACUCCUACGGGAGGCAGCAUG